GGUUAAGCGACUAAGCGUACACGGUGGAUGCCCUGGCAGUCAGAGGCGAUGAAGGACGUGCUAAUCUGCGAAAAGCGCCGGCGAGGUGAUAUGAACCUUUGACCCGGCGAUGUCCGAAUGGGGAAACCCAGUGUGAUUCGUCACACUAUCGUUAACUGAAUACAUAGGUUAACGAGGCGAACCGGGGGAACUGAAACAUCUAAGUACCCCGAGGAAAAGAAAUCAACCGAGAUUCCCCCAGUAGCGGCGAGCGAACGGGGAACAGCCCAGAGUCUGAAUCAGCUUGUGUGUUAGUGGAACGGUCUGGAAAGUCCGGCGAUACAGGGUGACAGCCCCGUACACGAAAGCACACAGGCUGUGAACUCGAAGAGUAGGGCGGGACACGUGGUAUCCUGUCUGAAUAUGGGGGGACCAUCCUCCAAGGCUAAAUACUCCUGACUGACCGAUAGUGAACCAGUACCGUGAGGGAAAGGCGAAAAGAACCCCGGCGAGGGGAGUGAAAAAGAACCUGAAACCGUGUACGUACAAGCAGUGGGAGCACCUUCGUGGUGUGACUGCGUACCUUUUGUAUAAUGGGUCAGCGACUUAUAUUCUGUAGCAAGGUUAACCGUAUAGGGGAGCCGAAGGGAAACCGAGUCUUAACUGGGCGUUAAGUUGCAGGGUAUAGACCCGAAACCCGGUGAUCUAGCCAUGGGCAGGUUGAAGGUUGGGUAACACUAACUGGAGGACCGAACCGACUAAUGUUGAAAAAUUAGCGGAUGACUUGUGGCUGGGGGUGAAAGGCCAAUCAAACCGGGAGAUAGCUGGUUCUCCCCGAAAGCUAUUUAGGUAGCGCCUCGUGAACUCAUCUUCGGGGGUAGAGCACUGUUUCGGCUAGGGGGCCAUCCCGGCUUACCAACCCGAUGCAAACUACGAAUACCGAAGAAUGUUAUCACGGGAGACACACGGCGGGUGCUAACGUCCGUCGUGAAGAGGGAAACAACCCAGACCGCCAGCUAAGGUCCCAAAGUCAUGGUUAAGUGGGAAACGAUGUGGGAAGGCACAGACAGCCAGGAUGUUGGCUUAGAAGCAGCCAUCAUUUAAAGAAAGCGUAAUAGCUCACUGGUCGAGUCGGCCUGCGCGGAAGAUGUAACGGGGCUAAACCAUGCACCGAAGCUGCGGCAGCGACGCUUAUGCGUUGUUGGGUAGGGGAGCGUUCUGUAAGCCGUUGAAGGUGUGCUGUGAGGCAUGCUGGAGGUAUCAGAAGUGCGAAUGCUGACAUAAGUAACGAUAAAGCGGGUGAAAAGCCCGCUCGCCGGAAGACCAAGGGUUCCUGUCCAACGUUAAUCGGGGCAGGGUGAGUCGACCCCUAAGGCGAGGCCGAAAGGCGUAGUCGAUGGGAAACAGGUUAAUAUUCCUGUACUUGGUGUUACUGCGAAGGGGGGACGGAGAAGGCUAUGUUAGCCGGGCGACGGUUGUCCCGGUUUAAGCAUGUAGGCGGAACGAUUAGGUAAAUCCGGUCGUUUAUUAACGCUGAGGUGUGAUGACGAGGCACUACGGUGCUGAAGUAACAAAUGCCCUGCUUCCAGGAAAAGCCUCUAAGCAUCAGGUAACACGAAAUCGUACCCCAAACCGACACAGGUGGUCAGGUAGAGAAUACCAAGGCGCUUGAGAGAACUCGGGUGAAGGAACUAGGCAAAAUGGUGCCGUAACUUCGGGAGAAGGCACGCUGAUAUGUAGGUGAAGCCCCUGCGGGUGGAGCUGAAAUCAGUCGAAGAUACCAGCUGGCUGCAACUGUUUAUUAAAAACACAGCACUGUGCAAACACGAAAGUGGACGUAUACGGUGUGACGCCUGCCCGGUGCCGGAAGGUUAAUUGAUGGGGUUAGCGGCAACGCGAAGCUCUUGAUCGAAGCCCCGGUAAACGGCGGCCGUAACUAUAACGGUCCUAAGGUAGCGAAAUUCCUUGUCGGGUAAGUUCCGACCUGCACGAAUGGCGUAAUGAUGGCCAGGCUGUCUCCACCCGAGACUCAGUGAAAUUGAACUCGCUGUGAAGAUGCAGUGUACCCGCGGCAAGACGGAAAGACCCCGUGAACCUUUACUAUAGCUUGACACUGAACACUGGUCCUUGAUGUGUAGGAUAGGUGGGAGGCUUUGAAGCGUGGACGCCAGUCUGCGUGGAGCCAACCUUGAAAUACCACCCUUUAAUGGCUGGUGUUCUAACGUAGACCCGUGAUCCGGGUUGCGGACAGUGUCUGGUGGGUAGUUUGACUGGGGCGGUCUCCUCCCAAAGAGUAACGGAGGAGCACGAAGGUUAGCUAAUCCUGGUCGGACAUCAGGAGGUUAGUGCAAUGGCAUAAGCUAGCUUGACUGCGAGAGUGACGGCUCGAGCAGGUGCGAAAGCAGGUCAUAGUGAUCCGGUGGUUCUGAAUGGAAGGGCCAUCGCUCAACGGAUAAAAGGUACUCCGGGGAUAACAGGCUGAUACCGCCCAAGAGUUCAUAUCGACGGCGGUGUUUGGCACCUCGAUGUCGGCUCAUCACAUCCUGGGGCUGAAGUAGGUCCCAAGGGUAUGGCUGUUCGCCAUUUAAAGUGGUACGCGAGCUGGGUUUAGAACGUCGUGAGACAGUUCGGUCCCUAUCUGCCGUGGGCGCUGGAGAAUUGAGGGGGGCUGCUCCUAGUACGAGAGGACCGGAGUGGACGCAUCACUGGUGUUCGGGUUGUCAUGCCAAUGGCACUGCCCGGUAGCUAAAUGCGGAAAAGAUAAGUGCUGAAAGCAUCUAAGCACGAAACUUGCCCCGAGAUGAGUUCUCCCUGACCCUUUAAGGGUCCUGAAGGAACGUUGAAGACUACGACGUUGAUAGGUCGGGUGUGUAAGCGCAGCGAUGCGUUGAGCUAACCGAUACUAAUGAACCGUGAGGCUUAACCUU
This 2906-nucleotide ribosomal RNA is filed under the name Enterobacter asburiae. RNAcentral's name for it is "23S ribosomal RNA". It matches the Rfam family "Bacterial large subunit ribosomal RNA". Lineage: Bacteria; Pseudomonadati; Pseudomonadota; Gammaproteobacteria; Enterobacterales; Enterobacteriaceae. The record is from RNAcentral.